Alexandromys fortis (reed vole) is the source of this 5321-nucleotide long non-coding RNA. RefSeq lists it as uncharacterized. The record is from RefSeq and is a predicted model, not a curated record. The transcript is spliced from 2 exons. NCBI's taxonomy places the organism in Eukaryota, Metazoa, Chordata, Mammalia, Rodentia, Cricetidae.
AUAUAUAUAUAUAUUGUGAAUUCAUUAUGAUGAGUUCUUCCUGUUUCUAAACCACAGUUUUUGCUUCGGGACCUAACACACUCCCUACCCUGACCUUGCUGCCACCCUGCCAACCUGCUGUGGGAUAUGUUUGCCACUUUGGCCUACUGGUUCCAUCUGGUGUGGACACAGAGCCCCUCAAGGUCUCCCAAAGAGCCACGAAAGACAAAGUUGCAGGUGUGCGGACUUCCCUGCAGGGCCCAGGGUAAAGGGAGAAGAAGGUCCAGUACACGUGACCAGUUUUUAAACAGUGGCUUCCAGGACACUCUCAAAUCCUACAGGAUGUGAAAGCCCGUCUUCUCCUCACUCCCAGGCAUCCCUACGGGCUGCCUGACUCCCGGCAUUUCAGUAUCUUAGGUGAAUCUCACUUUGGUGGCAGUGACUACAUAUCUUGAGCUUAGGAGGAAGGAGACAAGCCUUCCAGAAUCCACAUUCUGGAUCUCCUGUGAAUCUUCUUUCCUGGUUCCCAUGGAGAACUCGGGGCUGUUCUUGUUCAUUUCAGGUGAAGUCAUGCUUCCUCCCCAGGGUGGGGCUCACCCACAUACCUGCUUGACGCCAGCUGGACCUCUCCCAAGCUUUGCCAGGCAAUCUCUGGUCCUUGGCGUGAAGAGCAGAGCUGCUGGCUUCUAUCUGCAGAGACCUCAUGUCUCGAGGCCAAGAGUGCUAUAUACUGUAACCUCAACACAGGCUGAGAUCCAUCGUGUUCCCAGGCCUGGGAUUAUUAAGGGCCUAUCUACGUGGGAUGGAAAUCCCAGGGACCGUCUUAGACUUGUCCAUUGCACUCAGCUUGAGGAAUGAUCAGUCAUGGCCAGUCAUGUCUUGUUUGACCACAGGAUAGACUUCCUUGUAAGCCCCCAUUGUUGAGGUUGACUGUCAGGAAGUGUAGUAGUUGUGCUCUCUGGAGUGAACUCUGCAAGGUUGGUGGGGAGAGGGGGGGGGAAGCAAGGCUGGGGAGACAAGGCUCCAGGAUGACCCUCAGGGGUGUCCCCAUAGAGGCAAAGUCAGGGCUUCUCAGUGAGGCACUUCUGAGGAUGCUGAGAGCAUCCUGCUUCUUGGCAACCCCCAGGCAGGUAGGGAUCAAGACCUUUGCUUCUAAGCCCUACGUGACAGCCCAGCUGUAGCAGUGCCCUGCUUUGUGGCCCCUUACUUCUGAGCCCUGUGUGACAGCCCUAGCAGAAUGCUACAUUGUGGCACCUUGCUUCUGAACCUUACAUACAGCCUUAGCAGAAUGCUACAUUGUGACACCUUACUAAAUCCAUAUCCAAGCAAGCUACCUUGAGCACAAGUUUUGGUCACCCAUAACUAACUUGCCACUUUCCGACCAGCAGAGCACUGGCUGGUCAAGAUACCUGCAUAAGGGCCCACAACUGAGUAAGGCCCUGAGCCCCAGUUCUCCCCACAGCCGCCUACAGAGCAGCUGAUGUGCAGAGGGACAGUCUCCAGGGAGGGAACUUGUGACCCAGUUUCAGUCUGAUUUUUGUCCUGUGACCAGGGCCUGCGGUGGCUUCAGCACCAUGAUUCUACCAUCAAGUUCUGGUGGGCAACCAACAGCAGCAGCCAAUUGCCUGUAUUGUUUUGGGGUCUCAGAAACCUCCUUGACCAGGCACUGCUCCCCUGGUACUGAGAUUUUCAUUUAAUAACCUUUGGCUUCUGAAAGCAGCUGUGCCUAUUCACAGGGUACCUCUACUCAAACUAAUUGGUUUUCACUUUUAUUUUUUAAUUAGUUUGGCAAGAAGCAUGUUUCCUUCUGGAUUUUUACACAUCCUAAGUUUGGUUGAACCACCUCCCCCAGCCUCUCUUCUCACCAUGUCCCAGAUAAGUUUAUUUUAAAAUGUUAGUAUCACAAUCCACUGGAAAGGACAGCCUUUGUAACUACCUGAACUUUUCAGGAGAUAUUUUAGACCUUAAUUAAAACAGAAGGGAUAUAAACACAAAAUUCUUUCGUAGGGACAGUAAGCACCGUGUUUAGAAUGUAACUGUUUUUGAGGAAGGGUGUAGCCCAGGCUACUCAAACUCACUUAGUCAAAGACCUUGAAUUGAACCUCCUGCCUCCACUUCCUAAGUUCUGGAAUUGCAGGCACAUGCCAACAAGCCUGGUUUAUGUGGUGGUUGGAAUAGAACCCAGAGCUUUGGGCCUAUAGGCAAGCUCUCUACUGAGCUAUAUCCUUCCUCCUUUUAAAAGUUAAUCAAGUAAUUAAUUUGUUAUUUUGGUUUUUUUGAGAGAGGGUAUUUGUAGUAGGAUGCCACUUGUUUAUUCCCGGCUGCUCAGGGCUUAAAUAACCACACAGAAACAGUAUUAAUUAAAUCACUACUUGGCUUAUUAGCUCUAGCUUCUUAUUGGCUAGCUCUUACAUCUGAAUUUAACCCAUUUCAAUUAAUCUGUGUAUCACCACGUGACUGGCUUACUGGCAAAGUUCUGUGUAGGGCUCUGGCAUAUGGAGAAGAUACUGUUCUGUUAAUAUAACCAGUCCAUCACCCCACACACAUGUAUUUAUGCUGCCCUCAGGACUGGUAAUUGUGUGAUCAUCCGAAGCCCGGGAAAAGCUGUAAGAAAAGCGGAAAGUGGUCUGGGAGCCGGCUAACUGGGUGAGGGCUUGGUCGGCAUGAGCACUGGGCGCACACCGUGAACACCUAACAGAAAAGCCAGGCUUUGCUGUUUCCCUCAACCCUAGCACUGGGGCAGACAGGCGGAUCUCCAGAGCUCACUGCUCAACCACCCCAGGCAGAAUCCUGAGCUUCCUCUCCACAGGGAGAUCCUAUCUCAAGUCGCACUCAGACCUCCACACUUGUGACACCUGCGUGUUCACACUCAUGCACAAGUGUGUGCUCACCUGCAGCACAGACACAGAGGAGAGGGGAGGGCGGGGAUAUCUCUGUGUAGUCCUGGCUGUCCUGGGACUCACUCUGUAGACCAGGCUGGCCUGGAAUUCAAGAGAUCCGCCUGCCUCUUGGGUGCUUGUGCGCCACCACUGCCCAGCGUGAGUUUUGGAUGUAAUGAACUGAAACCUUCCCUACUGGAGAGAUGAGGGAAGCUUCCAACAUUUAGGAAGCGAGGAACUCUUCCAAGGCUCAGGAAGUCAUGGGAUCAGGGAGCCCUUGCUGAGGAGAUGAAAGCAGGGAACUGUUGCUCAGGAAGAGGGGACCCCCAGCAGGACUGCCUGCAAGUCCGACAGGGGGCGCUGAGAUACAGCUUUCCAGUCCUCACCUGAGCUGCAGGGCACUGGUUCUCCACCUUCCUAAGGCUGGGACCCCUUAAUACAGUUCCUCAUGUGUGGUGACCCCAACCAUAACAUUAUUUCACUACAGUUUCAUAACUAUAAUUUUGGUAUUAUGAAUCAUAGUUAAACAUCUGAUACCCAGGGUACCCCAUAUUAGGCCACUAUGAAAGUGCUGACUGAAAAGGGGUUGCGACCCACAGGCUGAGAACUGCGGACUUGGGUGGCACCCUCUCUUUGCUCUGUUGUUGGUGCCUGACCUUGGGCGGUGACGUUUCUUCAUGUUCACCUAGAAAGAGUCAGGCCGUAGCCAGUGAUCUGAGCACUUGGGAGCUGAGGCAGGAGCACCCCGUCAAUCAAAGCCUGGAGGCAACAGGGUCUGUCACUAUCACUAAGUAACAGGACACUGAUGGAGGAAGGUCACUGAGCAAUAAAGAAACUGCUUGGCUGGCCCUGAUAGGUUAAAGCAUAGGUGGGAGGAGUAAACAGAAUAGAAUUCUGGGAGGAAGAGGAAGUGAGGUCAGACUCUGCUCUGCUCCUGGAGAGACCUGACAGCUCCGCUCUCCCGGGCAGAUGCACGCAAUAAAGCUCCUCCGACCCAGGAUGGACAUAGGCUAGAAUUUUCCCGGUAAGUGCACCUUGGGGUACUUACACAGAUGAUUAGAAAUGGGCUAAAUUAAUAUGUGAGAAUUAGCCUAGAAGAGGCUAGAUAGAAAUGGGUCAAGCAGUGUUUAAAUGAAUACAGUUUGUGUGUUGUUAUUUCGGGCAUAAGCUAGCAGGCGGCCGGGGUGCUGGGGACGCAGCCCCGCCGCUCUAAUUUCAACAGGACACUUAGGAAUAAAGAUGAUAAAUUUAUUUUUCCUCCACUGCGAGGAAGGAAACUGACGAACACGAGUUGUGUUCACCCUCCACGCAGAAGGGAUCUCAGGACAGUGAGAUGGAGGGACAGGUGACUCAGACACUGGCAAGGGUGAGACUCUGGAUCCAGGAAGCCAGAGGGCAACAGUCCUACACAGCUCACCUCGUGACGCCAUGUGCAGGGCUGCUGCCCACAGGACACUGUCCGCAUGUCCUGCUGCUGGGAAUGUCUUUGGAGGGCACCGUCUGCAGGGCUGCUGCCCACAGGACACCGUCCGCAGUGUCCUGCUGCUGGGAAUGUCUUUGGCGGGCUCCAUCUUAGCACCCCUGGCACACAGAAGCCAACUUCAAAGUAGCACCUGCCAAAACCCCGAGUGUUGGCUCCAGUGUGUGUUCUGUGAAACCAUGGCAGCGGCAGACCCUCAGGCAGAUAGACAAAAGGACAAUAUGUCUGUGCCGAGUACCGCACUAUGAUGGGGUUGGGGCACAGCGGGGAACUUGGUCCCUGCGCGAAGCUUCUGCACUAGAGGGGAGACAGACACCGAGGGAACCAAGCAGGCCAGGUACACGAGGCUACACUGGGGGUGGGGGGCUUCGGUAACACCUGCCCCCAGGGCCCAGGAGAAAUACAAGGUUGUCUGAAGUAUCAGAGCCUGCUGGGCUCUGUACUUCAUACACAUGUACAUUCAUGUGUCCACACCUGUCUGCAAAUACUCAUACAUUCGUAGGCGCUGGGAAAGAAACACAACAGGGACCGUUAGAUGACCUGCCUACGACAGACACUCAUGAGCAGCAAUGUAAAGUUAGUUACAGGCACCUGCAGACGGCGGUACACAAUCCACUCUUCCUUCGCCUUAGUAUUUGACACUGUUUCUUUAGCUACACAGAUGCUGAGACGGGGUCCCUGAAUACUGCUGGACGGGCGAGGUCGGCCUGGUGUACAGAAGAACAAAGAAAAGCUACAUACAGAAGCCGGCAUGGGCUGUCAAUGGUGCUCCAGCUUACUCCUUCCGGAAUGAUUCCACUUCCGUCUGCUGCCGGCAUCUUCUGCUCCUACAAGCGCUAGACUGCCUAUCCACUAUGUAACGCCAGCUCCUCUCCACUGCUUCAGCCCCUUCUGAGUUCUAGCCAGACGCCACUGCUGUGGCAAGUCAGGGGUUAGGAAGUGCCAGUGCAGACAACAGCACCUUUGAGACAUCUUAGGGGCUA